UGGGAAGUGAUUUAAAUCAAAUCAAAAUCACAUAAAACAAGGUUUUAAAUAGGGAAAGUUAUUUAGGUCAAGCUUCCUACAAGAGCCUAUAAAUAGGAGGUCUCAAGACGAAAGAAAGGGGCAGAGAAAAAACCUAGCACUCAGAAGAAACAGAAAACUCUCUGCAUUCUUCAUCCUACUUUGGAAGAGCCACCAAGCAAAACAAAUGCGUGCCGGUUCCUUCACCAUAGAAAAAUCCCAAACACUAAACAAAAUUCGUGCUACCCAUUUGAUCAAGAUCAAGUCUCUACGACCCUUGUAUCAAACACAAAUUUUCUUUAAACACUUUGGAGAUCAAAUCAGAGGAUUCAAUACAGAGAUUGUAACCCUAAAUUUCAUUAAUACAAUAUUAUUUUGUACACGUGUUCUUGUCUCAUUUGUCGCAGAAAAUUCGUGUUUACAAAUUUGGCACGCCCGGUGGGACAAUCUCUUCCUCUCAUCUCUUUCUCCAGUUCAAAAAUCAAUCAACACACCAAAAACGAUGGCUUCCAAGAAGAUUCAAUCCGUUCCAGUGACGAGAGGCAAAAGCGUGAGCGCCUCCUUCUCAAGUGGAGAUUCUGCUGGGGUUGUCACCCGGAGCAAGGCCAAGGCGAUAUCCGUAACUCGACAUGUCACUUCCAUACCGACUCAAGCCAAGGCGAAAGAUGUGAACCGAAGGCGUGAACCAGUCAUCAAUUUGGCAAAGAAGACUAUCGCUAGAGCGGAUGAGAGAAACUCUUCGAACGAAGAAAAGAGUUUUUCGUGUUGGAAGAAUUCAAGAGAACCCUCACUCUCGCCUGUUUCAGUCUCUGACUCGAGCACAGGUUCAUACCAUGGAUCCCCGCCUGACGACCAACCGAAGAAGAUUGCCUCGGCGUCUGUAGGUGAGUCUUAUUCUAUGGCUAUGCAGGUCAUGGUGACGGGAGCAAUGUCUAUUGAAGAACAGUUGGCCCAUAUGAGCGAAGCGGUCACGAAACUGACGAAGAUGGUCGAAGAGAAGGAUGUGCAGAUUGCUUCUCUCAUUAACCAGUGGGAGACACAUCAAGAUAAGGAACCUAGCCAAGAUAUGCAUAAGAAAGAAUCACAUCAUGAAGCUGAAUCCAGCGAGAAAGGAUUGGGUCAUGAAACAGAGUCGGGUGAUAAGUCGCACGGAAAAGGCGACACAGCCUUGGUGGGUUCUUUAUCUAUCCAACAACUUCAGGACAUGAUCACGAAUUUUUUUUUAUUUUCAUCCAUUUUAUUGUAUUUUAUUUUUAAAACUGUAGAAAUUUUCACUACUCUUCAAUCUAUGAUUUUGGUUGGCAGCCACAGAUCAAUAAUUAACCAAAAUUAGCCUUGGUUCUCCAAGUUCGAAUGUAAUUCGUCCAUCCAUUUAGAGGUGUCAAAUGGUCAGACCGGCCCCGCAAAGCACGAGCUCAUCCCAUUUAAAUAGAAAAUUGAGUUGUAGCCACUGUUUUCCUAGCCACUGCAUCUGAAUGGUGGCCAUUGCUGAUGUAAUAGCCACACACUUACUGUUAAUCUGUGGCACCAAACACAUGGCACGGUAUAUUUGUUGCUGAAAAACAACUAGCCACGGAUGCUGAG
This 1602-nucleotide long non-coding RNA is filed under the name Prunus dulcis (almond). RNAcentral describes it as "sRNA ncRNA". Lineage: Eukaryota; Viridiplantae; Streptophyta; Magnoliopsida; Rosales; Rosaceae. The record is from RNAcentral.